AUGGGGAGGCAGGAGGAGUGGGGAGGGAGAGGGAUAAGGAGAAGCAGACUCUGCUCUGCAGGGACCCCAACUCAAGGUUCGAUCCCAGGACCCCAAUAUCACAUCCGAGCCAAAGGCAGCCUCUUAACCCGUGGAGCCACCCAGGCACCCCUAAGGUAUUCUGUAUAUUGCAGAAAGCCGGUAGUAAUGCAAAUGAUUGCAAAGGAUUCCCAGCCCCUCUGUGAAGAUGCAAUUGAUUUCUGCCCUUUGGAGGAAACCAAGUUUGCAUCUAUCAGCAAAUUCAUUUCUACAUUCCUGAUUAUCUUUAUUCCCGUUUUCGGAAGCCAUUCCGCCUGAUGUCAUUUGCUCAGCCUGCUGCCGAUUGACAUCCCAGCGUGCAAACCGACGUGGGUAAAUUACAGGUUGACAGGAGAUGAACGGGAGAAAAAUCAGAUUGCAUUUUGUAGGAAGGAAGCGCUCCGGUAUGUGGCGAUCCCCAAGACCAAGGUGACAUGGAGUAUACAGGACAUCUGAGCUAAGGAAGGGGGUGGGCAGGGUAAGGCAAUUCACAGGGUAAGAAUCACAGAGGUUUGGGGGCCCUGCAUGGCUCAGUCAGCUAAGUGUCUGCCUUUGGCUCAGGUCAUGAUCCUGGGGUCUUGGGAUCGAGUCCUGCCUCAGGCUCCUUGCUCAGCAGGGAGCCUGCUUUUCCCUCAGCCUGACGCUCCCCCUGCUUGGGCACUCUGACAAAAUCUUAAAAAAAAGUUUGCCCCCCACACCUCGCCCCACAUACACACACAGAUGGGUCACUCAGAUAAAAUUUCUGGUAAAAACUCCCAUUCUGGGGCGCCUGGGUGGCUCAGUGGGUAAAGCCGCUGCCUUUGGCUCGGGUCGUGAUCUUGGGGUCCUGGGAUCGAGUCCCGCAUCGGGCUCUCUGCUCGGCGUGGAGCCUGCUUCCCUCUCUCUCUCUCUCUGCCUGCCUCUCCAUCUACUUGUGAUUUCUCUGUCAAAUAAAUAAAAUCUUAAAAAAAAAAAAAAACUCCCAUUCUGGGAAAGACACUAACCCCCCUACCCUCCCGCUCAAAUUUUAAUACCUCUUAGGUAGCUAAGGGAGGGGCAAAAAUUUCUCUUAAGCUGUUGGCUCUCCAUGGGCAUGUGGCCGAUCUUGGGCUGAAGGCUGAGCAGCACACGUCGGGGAUACAUGUCCGGAGUCCCUUCAUGAGACCCCAAGUACCACAUUGCUCCUCCCCAGAGCCCGGAAGGCUGGAGAACUCCGUCUGAAACGCAGUGAUGCUAAGUGGGAGGAAACAGGCUGGGUGAGGAGUGGAGCCCGGUCGGAUGGGACACAGGCCCAAUCCCCCACCGUGCCCUGAAUCCUGCUGUGUGAACCAGGAGGCCAUCAAGCACCCUCCUCACUCAGCCUCUGAAUAGUGUGUCUCACAUACGAAGGGACCCACCACGCCGGGUCAGCAGGGGCAAAGAGCCAGGCUGCUUCUCUGCCUCCAGGCCAUGUUCUGCGGUUCCUGAGUCUCUAAGAUUUUAUGUAUGUGACAGACAGACAUCACAAGCAGGCAGAGAGGCAGGCAGAGAGAGAA
This 1571-nucleotide long non-coding RNA is filed under the name Mustela putorius furo (domestic ferret). RNAcentral describes it as "lncRNA (ENSMPUG00000029751.1)". The record is from RNAcentral. Lineage: Eukaryota; Metazoa; Chordata; Mammalia; Carnivora; Mustelidae.